UAGCAUGGAUUCGAGAUUCUUCAUCAAGCAGCUCCUCUGCUCCCUGCUGGCGUUUGUAUUUCCGACGGGGCUUGUAAACAUCCUAAGAAUUGCUAGAGUUCACCCCC
Non-coding RNA from Ceratotherium simum simum (southern white rhinoceros), 107 nucleotides. The record is from RefSeq and is a predicted model, not a curated record. Lineage: Eukaryota; Metazoa; Chordata; Mammalia; Perissodactyla; Rhinocerotidae.